Molecule: ribosomal RNA, 466 nt
Filed under: uncultured Desulfobulbus sp.
Lineage: Bacteria; Pseudomonadati; Thermodesulfobacteriota; Desulfobulbia; Desulfobulbales; Desulfobulbaceae
Description: bacterial SSU rRNA
Rfam family: Bacterial small subunit ribosomal RNA
Source: RNAcentral
CCGCACAAGCGGUGGAGUAUGUGGUUUAAUUCGAUGCAACGCGAAGAACCUUACCUGGUCUUGGCAUCCCGGAGACCCUUAGGAAACUAGGGGUGCUUCCAUCUGGAAGAAUCUGGAGACAGGUGCUGCAUGGCUGUCGUCAGCUCGUGUCGUGAGAUGUUGGGUUAAGUCCCGCAACGAGCGCAACCCUUGCCUUUAGUUGCCAGCAGUUCGGCUGGGCACUCUAAAGGGACUGCCGGUGUUAAACCGGAGGAAGGUGGGGAUGACGUCAAGUCCUCAUGGCCUUUAUGACCAGGGCUACACACGUACUACAAUGGCCGAUACAAAAGGCAGCGACACUGCGAGGUGAAGCCAAUCCCGUAAAAUCGGUCUCAGUCCGGAUUGGAGUCUGCAACUCGACUCCAUGAAGUUGGAAUCGCUAGUAAUCGUGAAUCAGAAUGUCACGGUGAAUACGUUCCCGGGCCUU